Molecule: ribosomal RNA, 799 nt
Filed under: uncultured bacterium
Lineage: Bacteria
Description: bacterial SSU rRNA
Rfam family: Bacterial small subunit ribosomal RNA
Source: RNAcentral
ACGGGUGAGUAACACGUGGGUAACCUGCCUCAAAGAGGGGGAUAGCCUCCCGAAAGGGAGAUUAAUACCGCAUAAGAUUGGUUUUUCGCAUGGGAAACUAAUUAAAGGAGUAAUCCGCUUUGAGAUGGACCCGCGGCGCAUUAGCUAGUUGGUGAGGUAACGGCUCACCAAGGCGACGAUGCGUAGCCGACCUGAGAGGGUGAUCGGCCACAUUGGAACUGAGACACGGUCCAGACUCCUACGGGAGGCAGCAGUGGGGAAUAUUGCACAAUGGGCGAAAGCCUGAUGCAGCAACGCCGCGUGAGUGAUGAAGGCCUUCGGGUUGUAAAGCUCUGUCUUUUGGGACGAUAAUGACGGUACCAAAGGAGGAAGCCACGGCUAACUACGUGCCAGCAGCCGCGGUAAUACGUAGGUGGCAAGCGUUGUCCGGAUUUACUGGGCGUAAAGGAUGCGUAGGCGGACUUUUAAGUGAGAUGUGAAAACCCCGGGCUCAACUUGGGGACUGCAUUUCAAACUGGAAGUCUAGAGUGCGGGAGAGGAAAGUGGAAUUCCUAGUGUAGCGGUGAAAUGCGUAGAGAUUAGGAAGAACACCAGUGGCGAAGGCGACUUUCUGGACCGUAACUGACGCUGAGGCAUGAAAGCGUGGGUAGCAAACAGGAUUAGAUACCCUGGUAGUCCACGCCGUAAACGAUGAGUACUAGGUGUAGGAGGUAUCGACCCCUUCUGUGCCGCAGUUAACACAAUAAGUACUCCGCCUGGGAAGUACGAUCGCAAGAUUAAAACUCAAAGGAAUUGACGG